UGCUUCUUGGAGUUUUGAGGGCGUUUCUGCGUCCACAUCGCCAAGCUCCACAGUAUCACCAGGCCCUACAAAAAUCCAAAACCAGGAUGGCCUCCUCUCCACUUCUCCAAUUAGGGUCUUUUAAGAGUGUAUUAAGAGUCCCAUAUUCAGAAACCUGAAAUUUUCAAUUGGGGUGGUUUUUUAUGGGUCCAAAUCGAUGAUGAGUUUUGCCCAGAAAUGUGUUUUAGCAGAAGAGAGUGGUAGUUACUUCAAAUUUGUAACUUUUGGUUUGCGCUUUGUUUGUUUUGUUUUGCAUCUUUUGGUUGGCGAUUGUGAAGUGUCAAAUUUGUCAUUGUUUCCUGCAAUUUAGAUUUGGACCAAGAAUAAGUUGAAGCCUAUUAACCUUAUUGUUGUUAAUCAUGUUGGUAUGCCUUGUUGGUCAAUUACCCUGUUGCUAAAACUUUUGAGUUAAAUUUGUAGUUUAAAUCCAUGUGUUGAAUCCUUGGCUUUUGAGAGGUCUAGUUUGAAUCUCACCACUUAUUUAUUCCCUUUGUAUUGAAUCGAUGUGGGAGAGAAACAGAGAAUCCAUGGAGGCUAGUGUUAAGGCAAUUAUCACAACUAUUAAGCUACUUCAUUUAAUAUACAUUGUUGAUCCAUUAUCUAAUAGCAUAAGCUCUAGGAUUAAGUGGUUAUUAACAUUUACUAAGGUUGGAAUUCCUAUCUUAUCUUGGUAAGGUAGAUGACUUCUCUCAAUUUAUGGGGCUAGGGGAAGCACCCUACAACUAAGGUAAAUGGUUUCUCAACUCCCAAAAUUGCUAAGUUAAUUUAUUAAUGCAAGAAACGCUUCCCCUUCUACCAACAGGUUAAGAGGAUAUUUCCUUCACUUACUCUGCUUCUUGUUUCCAUGUUUGGGCUAUAAGGUAAAUGUGGGGUGCUAAUCCCUUCCAAUUUUGUUUCCAUGUAUUAAUAUUGUUGGAGUCUAUAGUUGCAAACUAGAAGAAUAUAGUUGGAGGAAUGGGACAUGCUUUUGUAGAUGGUGUCUCAAACUCAAUUCCCAUGCUUCAACUUUUUGAGUUUAAUUUGUAGUUUAAAAUAGUGUUGAAUCCUUGGCUUUUGAGGAGUCUUAGGUUUGAACCUCACCACUUAUUUAUUCUCUUUGUAUUCAAUACAUAUGUGAGAGGAUGUCUUAAGGCAAUUAUCAUAAGUAUUAAUCGGCCUAACGUACAUUGUUAAUCUACUAAUUAAUAGCAUAAGCUGCUGGACUGCAACCAACAUUUCCUAAAGUUAGAAUUCCUAUCUUAUUUUGGUAAGAUAGAUGACUUCUUCUCUCAAUUUACAAGGCCUUGAUGCACUCUACAACUAAGGCAAAUGGCUUCCUGAGUUCCAAAUUGCUAAGUUAAUUCACUGAUGCAAGAAAAACUUCUCCUUAUACCAACAGGUUAACAUAGGGUGUUAAUCCCUUCCAAUUUUAUUUCCAUGCAUUGAAAAGAAAAAAAAAAUCAACUUUGUUCUACCCUAUGGGUUUGGUGUAACUCUGUAAGGUAGUUGGAUGCAUAGCAUGCUAGUAUCAUAGAUACACCUAGCAAUUUCUUGUAUCCUUUUUCUUGGUCAUCACCUUGCUAAUUUAUGUAGAAGUGGUCAAAUGGCCACAAACUAAAAUUACCUUUCUCUCUCUCUCUCUCUCAUGCACAUAAAUACACAUCAUUUUUUGCUCAGUCUUUGUGAACUAUAGUUCCCUCAUUAUUAGAAUUCUGUUAAUUCCUCAUAUUAGUUUGAAAUUUUAUUUUUUUGAUUUAUUUAUUUAUUUAUUUUUAUCUUUGUAUUGGAAGAUGUAAGAUAUGUUGGAUAUUUAUAUUUUUGUAACUUCAAUAGUUCUUUUUUUUUUUCUGCAGCAAGAAGAAAGCUUAAGCUUAAGGUUCAUGUUGUAUAUAUAUGCUUUACAUAGUUUGAUUGUACACCAAGUGUUUGUUUGCUUCGGUUUGUAGUCUAUGAUAUAGGUUUCAUACUUAGUCGCCUACCAUUUAUUUAUUUUUAUUGCAAUUGUCAUAAUUACCAUAUAUUCUUUUUGUUUUCUGCUUUGUAAAUUGAUUUUUGAGAUUGACAUCUCAUUUUAAAAUGUACUUUUAUAAUAUGCUGUGUUUAUUACAUAUUCAGACUGAGGUCAAUGGUGUGUUCCUUUUUUCUGCAAUGUGCUCUCUUUAAAGUUAGUGAAUUUGUUGCAGUCUGAACAUAAUUUAACCCAUAGGACAUGUAUUGCAGAAAACACCUACAUUCCACAGUUUAUUGAAAUGAUAGAAAAACAUUACCUGUGCAGAGCACUUCAAGAGGUCACUGUAGCUACAAUUUUGAGCUGAUAACAUCAAACGUGCAGCCCUUAAAUGCAGCUUCUUUGUUGCCUGGUGAAUUUUGCUCAUAUAUACUGCUUUGCGUUUACCUUCUAUGCGUGCCAUGGUUACUAUCACAAUAUCCAAUAGCAACAUGCCAUGUUCUCACUUUUCAACCUUCCUUCAUGGUUUUGAUCUACUACUUCACUAUGAUUAAGUUUACCACAAAUCUGACAAGUUAUGUUACCUGAAGAAUUUGAAUUGCUACUGCUCUUAUGAUUUUAAUCAGCUUGCUUCCCAAAAUUAAUUCUAUGAAUCUUGAUUAUAACACAGGUAGUUGCCAUUUCGCUAAUUUGAAGCUACCCAUUGAUCAUUUUGACUAGGAUUAUUGUUGAGAAAUAAAGGUUGUUGGAUAUUGGCUCAAAACAAUGAUCAAUUAGUCAAUCGAUGAUGAAGUCAAUUGCAAUGUUGAUGUAUAUAACUUGACAUGUAAAAGAGAAAUAAAAAAUAAAAAAAUUGUACAAUUACAGUUCAAUGGCAAGAAAUGAUAUGGUCCUUCAAUGGAUGUGGGGGACUUUUCAGAUCA
Vitis vinifera (wine grape) is the source of this 2889-nucleotide long non-coding RNA. RefSeq lists it as uncharacterized. The record is from RefSeq and is a predicted model, not a curated record. The transcript has 2 exons. Lineage: Eukaryota; Viridiplantae; Streptophyta; Magnoliopsida; Vitales; Vitaceae.